RNAcentral lists this ribosomal RNA (468 nucleotides) under uncultured bacterium. RNAcentral describes it as "partial 16S ribosomal RNA". It matches the Rfam family "Bacterial small subunit ribosomal RNA", at positions 28 to 507 of the family's 1533-position model. The record is from RNAcentral.
GACGAACGCUGGCGGUGUGCUUAACACAUGCAAGUCGAACGGAAAGGCACUGCUUUUGUGGGGUGCUCGAGUGGCGAACGGGUGAGUAACACGAGAGUAACCUGACCUAGUCUUUGGGGUAACUUCAGGAAACUGGGGUUAAUACAGGAUAGGAGCCGCCGCUGCAUGGUGGGGGUUGGAUAGUCUCGGCGGUUGGGGAUGGACUCGCGGCUUAUCAGCUUGUUAGUGGGGUAGUGGCUUACCAAGGCAUUGACGGAUACGCGGCCUGAGAGGGUGACCGGCCUCAUGGGUACUGAGGUACGGCCCAGACUCCAACGGGAGACAGCAGUGGGGAACAUUGCACAAUGGGCGGAAGCCUGAUGCAGCAACGCCGCGUGCGGGAUGACGGCCUUCGGGUUGAAAACCGCUUCCGCCUGUGACGAAGCGUUAGUGACGGUAAUGGGUAAAGAAGCACCGGCUAACUACGUG